AGAGAGAGAGAGGUGAUGAUUGGCUGAGCUGUAGAGAGAGAGAGAGGUGAUGAUUGGCUGAGCUGUAGAGAGAGAGGUGAUGAUUGGCUGAGCUGUAGAGAGAGAGAGAGGUGAUGAUUGGCUGAGCUGUAGAGAGAGAGGUGAUGAUUGGCUGAGCUGUAGAGAGAGAGGUGAUGAUUGGCUGAGCUGUAGAGAGAGAGAGAGGUGAUGAUUGGCUGAGCUGUAGAGAGAGAGAGGUGAUGAUUGGCUGAGCUGUAGAGAGAGAGAGGUGAUGAUUGGCUGAGCUGUAGAGAGAGAGAGGUGAUGAUUGGCUGAGCUGUAGAGAGAGAGGUGAUGAUUGGCUGAGCUGUAGAGAGAGAGAGAGGUGAUGAUUGGCUGAGCUGUAGAGAGAGAGAGGUGAUGAUUGGCUGAGCUGUAGAGAGAGAGAGAGGUGAUGAUUGGCUGAGCUGUAGAGAGAGAGAGAGGUGAUGAUUGGCUGAGCUGUAGAGAGAGAGAGGUGAUGAUUGGCUGAGCUGUAGAGAGAGAGAGAGGUGAUGAUUGGCUGAGCUGUAGAGAGAGAGGUGAUGAUUGGCUGAGCUGUAGAGAGAGAGAGAGGUGAUGAUUGGCUGAGCUGUAGAGAGAGAGAGAGAGGUGAUGAUUGGCUGAGCUGUAGAGAGAGAGAGGUGAUGAUUGGCUGAGCUGUAGAGAGAGAGAGAGGUGAUGAUUGGCUGAGCUGUAGAGAGAGAGAGAGGUGAUGAUUGGCUGAGCUGUAGAGAGAGAGAGAGAGGUGAUGAUUGGCUGAGCUGUAGAGAGAGAGAGAGGUGAUGAUUGGCUGAGCUGUAGAGAGAGAGAGAGGUGAUGAUUGGCUGAGCUGUAGAGAGAGAGGUGAUGAUUGGCUGAGCUGUAGAGAGAGAGAGAGGUGAUGAUUGGCUGAGCUGUAGAGAGAGAGAGGUGAUGAUUGGCUGAGCUGUAGAGAGAGAGGUGAUGAUUGGCUGAGCUGUAGAGAGAGAGAGAGGUGAUGAUUGGCUGAGCUGUAGAGAGAGAGGUGAUGAUUGGCUGAGCUGUAGAGAGAGAGAGAGGUGAUGAUUGGCUGAGCUGUAGAGAGAGAGAGGUGAUGAUUGGCUGAGCUGUAGAGAGAGAGGUGAUGAUUGGCUGAGCUGUAGAGAGAGAGAGGUGAUGAUUGGCUGAGCUGUAGAGAGAGAGAGAGGUGAUGAUUGGCUGAGCUGUAGAGAGAGAGAGGUGAUGAUUGGCUGAGCUGUAGAGAGAGAGGUGAUGAUUGGCUGAGCUGUAGAGAGAGAGGUGAUGAUUGGCUGAGCUGUAGAGAGAGAGAGGUGAUUGGUUGAGGUGAUUUUAGUUCAGCUUUUAACACACUCCAACCCCAUCUUCUCAUCUUAAAAAUGAGACAGAUGAGUGUUAA
Long non-coding RNA from Acanthochromis polyacanthus (spiny chromis), 1396 nucleotides. RefSeq lists it as uncharacterized. The transcript has 7 exons. The record is from RefSeq and is a predicted model, not a curated record. NCBI's taxonomy places the organism in Eukaryota, Metazoa, Chordata, Actinopteri, Pomacentridae.